GCGAAGGUGGCGGAAUUGGUAGACGCGCUAGCUUCAGGUGUUAGUGUCCUUACGGACGUGGGGGUUCAAGUCCCCCCCCGCGCACCA
RNAcentral lists this transfer RNA (87 nucleotides) under Citrobacter koseri. RNAcentral describes it as "tRNA-Leu". It matches the Rfam family "tRNA". Rfam says of the family: Transfer RNA (tRNA) molecules are approximately 80 nucleotides in length. Their secondary structure includes four short double-helical elements and three loops (D, anti-codon, and T loops). The record is from RNAcentral. Lineage: Bacteria; Pseudomonadati; Pseudomonadota; Gammaproteobacteria; Enterobacterales; Enterobacteriaceae. RNAcentral also lists the same sequence under 2 other names.